GUGCCAGCAGCCGCGGUAACACGGGGGGAGCAAGCGUUGUUCGGAAUCACUGGGCGUAAAGGGCGUGUAGGCGGUCAGGUAAGUGAGAUGUGAAAUGCCCCGGCUCACCCGGGGACCGGCAUCUCAUACUGCUUGGCUUGAGUACGGGAGAGGGUGUGGGAAUUCCUGGUGUAGCGGUGAAAUGCGUAGAUAUCAGGAGGAACACCGGUGGCGAAGGCGCACACCUGGCCCGAUACUGACGCUGAGGCGCGAAAGCUAGGGGAGCAAACGGGAUUAGAAACCCCAGUAGUCC
This 292-nucleotide ribosomal RNA is filed under the name uncultured bacterium. RNAcentral describes it as "partial 16S ribosomal RNA". It matches the Rfam family "Bacterial small subunit ribosomal RNA", at positions 505 to 796 of the family's 1533-position model. The record is from RNAcentral.